AUACGGAGGGUGCAAGCGUUAAUCGGAAUUACUGGGCGUAAAGCGUACGUAGGCGGUUUGUUAAGUUAGAUGUGAAAGCCCCGGGCUUAACCUGGGAACUGCAUUUAAAACUGGCGAACUAGAGUUGAGUAGAGGGGAGUGGAAUUUCAGGUGUAGCGGUGAAAUGCGUAGAGAUCUGAAGGAACACCAGUGGCGAAGGCGACUCCCUGGACUCAAACUGACGCUGAGGUACGAAAGCGUGGGUAGCAAACGGGAUUAGAAACCCUAGUAGUCC
RNAcentral lists this ribosomal RNA (274 nucleotides) under uncultured bacterium. Its description in RNAcentral is "partial 16S ribosomal RNA". It matches the Rfam family "Bacterial small subunit ribosomal RNA", at positions 523 to 796 of the family's 1533-position model. The record is from RNAcentral.